RNAcentral lists this ribosomal RNA (460 nucleotides) under uncultured bacterium. RNAcentral's name for it is "partial 16S ribosomal RNA". It matches the Rfam family "Bacterial small subunit ribosomal RNA", at positions 338 to 795 of the family's 1533-position model. The record is from RNAcentral.
CCUACGGGAGGCAGCAGUGAGGAAUAUUGGUCAAUGGACGUAAGUCUGAACCAGCCAAGUAGCGUGCAGGAUGACGGCCCUAUGGGUUGUAAACUGCUUUUAUGCGGGGAUAAAAUGUGCCACGUGUGAGUUUUUGUAGGUACCGCAUGAAUAAGGAUCGGCUAAUUCCGUGCCAGCAGCCGCGGUAAUACGGAGGGUCCGGGCGUUAUCCGGAUUUAUUGGGUUUAAAGGGAGCGUAGGCGGUAUGUUAAGUGUGCCGUGAAAUGCCGUGGCUCAACCAUGGAACUGCGGCGGAAACUGGCUUGCUUGAGUGCAGGGAAGGUAGGCGGAAUUCGUGGUGUAGCGGUGAAAUGCUUAGAUAUCACGAAGAACUCCGAUUGCGAAGGCAGCUUACGGGACCGCUACUGACGCUGAGGCUCGAAAGCGUGGGUAUCGAACAGGAUUAGAUACCCGAGUAGUC